UUACUACUCACUCCGUUUUAAGAUUCUUGUUUUAGAUUUGUCUAGAUAUGGAUGUAUCUAAAUUAAAACGUAAAUAGAUACAUUCGUAUUUAGAUAAAUUUAAGACAAAAAAUUUAGGAUGGAGGGAGUACCUU
This is a non-coding RNA of Triticum aestivum (bread wheat), 134 nucleotides long. The record is from Rfam. Lineage: Eukaryota; Viridiplantae; Streptophyta; Magnoliopsida; Poales; Poaceae.